Maniola jurtina (meadow brown) is the source of this 3505-nucleotide long non-coding RNA. RefSeq lists it as uncharacterized. The record is from RefSeq and is a predicted model, not a curated record. Lineage: Eukaryota; Metazoa; Arthropoda; Insecta; Lepidoptera; Nymphalidae. The transcript has 2 exons.
AUUUUGGAGAUGAAUUUAUUCUGAAAUAGUUAUAUUCAUUUGAAAGUUUAGUUUCAAUUUUUUUUAAAUCAAAAAAACUGUAGGAUGAUGAAUUGUUACUUUUUUGUUGUUGCCUAUUUAUUAUUUUUAUUUACUCAUUGAGACUGAUUUUUAUCAUAGCAUUAGAUAGUAGGUAAGUUUUAAUUAUUUGGGUCUUAUUUUGAAAAUAUUCUUAACUCCAAAUCGUUUAUGUAAUUUUAAAUCUACUGAGUACUUCAUUUACUUUAAAUUAUCCUAAUAUGGAUUCAAACUCAAUCGAUAUUCUAGUUUGUUGCAGAAAUGUAUAAGACCUCUUUCACAUGAACUUUUUUCUAACGCGGAUUAAGAAGGCGUCGAAUGAAAGAAAAGCCAAAUUCGAUAUAACCGGCGACCGCCGACGGUUGAAAAUCCACUACUGCAAACUAUCGCUUAGGAUUGAGGAACAUGUUAAGAUAUGAUCAAAAUAUCUGUUAAAAAUCUUAUUUUUCUUUAGCCGACUUAAAAGGUAAACAAAAAGAAGCGAACUUCGCGAAAAAAUACGUAAGCGACGCGCAUUGUCUGGCGCUUUAGACGUUAUAAAGUUUUCUUUUUCUUGGCCAUGGUUUAGUUGUUAGUGCGCGGUAAGGACUAAGAACCUCUAUGUGCCGUGUAUGCCGCGUCGUUCAGGCGUUUUUCGAGAACGGAUUAAUUUGCCUUAAGUCAGCCAACGAAAAAUGUCUAGCUAUUUGAAUUUGUUUUAUUCCAAUGAUUUUCAGCUCUUAUAAGCAAGAAGAACCUUGUAACUUUAAAAAAACGCGCGUUAUUAAAACGUCCGUGUGAACACGGGCUUAUAAAUAUUAAGAUAUCAUACUUAAAUACAAAAUGAAAUCAAAAAAUUACAAAUAGUAAAUGUUAUUAGCGAAUUCAAGGUGCCAAUUUUUUUUUUUUUGUUUAUAAAUUAAGUACUUUUUAAAGAUUUUUAUAAUAUCUUUUUGUAUUACUUUAUUAACAACCUCUUAGGUUUUUUAAGUUCGUUCUACAACGCGCGCGAAAUGCAAUUUCAUCCGUUUCACGCCGCGAGUGAAGAGCGGGCAAUAGAUAUUGUAAGUCUUCUUUUUACGACACGCAACGACUACGAUACAAUUUUUUUUAUAAAUCUUUUUACUUACAGCAUAUAAUAUUAUAUAGUAUAAGAGCCAUUAUACUUAUUGUAGCCAUGGGGUGAUUCGCUAACAAUGUCUAACACUGAAUGAUAGACACUCAGCUCAUUUGAUAUUGGGUGGUUCUAUAUUGCUGCUUCAUUAAAAUAUUUUUUCGUACAAAAUAUUCAAUAAUGGAUUGUCAAAUGAGUUCGGUGGCUAUCAUUAUUAGCAAAUCAGUAGCGAAGUUCUAUAGAAACUGAGUUAUAAAUGUCACAGUAAGGGUGCAUUCAGACUGGCUCGCGCGUAUAUAUAAGUUUGUAAACGCACUGAAAAAUGAGUAUACGCGCGAAAAAAAAAACUUAUCUAAUACUGUUCUAAAACAAUGUUCCCCCAUAAUAGCGUGAAGUUACAUCAAUGAAAUUAUCGCAACCAAGCUGUUAUUAAUUUUUUUUAAAUGUUUUUGGGCCUUGAGAUUACGAUAGUUCAUACUUGUUAAAGUUGAGAUCUAUAUAGAGCAUAUAUUAACUUUGCUUAGAGUUUGCAUAGAGUUAAAACGAGACAGAUUAAUGUCAUAGACAAAUCUGUCUAGUUUUAACUUCAAAGAUAAUUUAUAUUAACUUGUGAGAUAUUUAUACUUUUGUUAUACCUAGUUGAUUGUUGAAGACUGAUUUUUAAUUACUUAAGGGUACACUUCUUACGCGUUUCGCCAUACAAAAGUAUGACGCCUAUUAUUUUAUUCUUUGUUAAUCUAGAUCUAUAACUAAGUUAUAUAUCGAUUUACCUCUCCAGUAUCUAUGCCCUAAAAAAAUAAUAUAGUAAAAAUGUAUUUAUUUUAAAAGUUAUGGCCCUUGAAAUAUCUCUAUUUUAGGGCUAAUUUUCAGGCAUAAGAAAGUAGAAAAUUAAAAAAUUAAUAAAUUUAUGUCACACUUUACUUCAUAAUAAUUUCAAAUGACUUUAGUUUGUGUAAAAAAUGUUUUCUUUUGAAAAAAAUAGGCGUAAUUCCAAACGUUGAUUUGCAAUUUUAAUUUUGCCAAUUUUGACUAAAAAUCUUGAAUCUCAAUCGAAAUUUAUUCACCCGGUCUCUCUCGGGGUGAAGUGUGAUUAGAGUGAAAGGGUGACACGCACCCUUUCACCCGUCAACGAGCUAUCUAUCGCUUCUAUGAAGCGGACUCUUAGUGAAUUUUGGUAAGAUACCUUUAUAGCCUUACUUGUAGUAAUUUCUGAUAAGACAGAAACUAGGUCUUUAUGUUUUUACACAGUGAUUAGAAAAUUAAUUCCUAUGUGGUUAGUUUGGCUGGGCGAAAGAAUAUCGUUAUGUAAUUUUUAACUUAAAUCAUUCGAUUUAUCAAACUUUUGAGUGAUAGUAAAAGUGCUUUAAAUGAUACCUUUUUAAACCAUAUUAAAAUAUACUUAAUAUUAAGAUUUUAUUUAUAAGAUGAAAUCAAAAUUUCAUUUUAUCGCAGAUUUUUAUUUUGUUAUCAAGUCCAAGGUGGUGGGUUUUUAAAGUUUUUAAUUUACUUUUUAUAAAUCUUUAAAAUAACUUUUUUAUAUUAGUUACUUCAUACUUUUAUUGAUAUAUAACAUGUUUGUCUUUUCAUAACAGCUAUAGGGCUCAAGGUACAUUGAAUGGAAGCGAGGCGACAGAUAUUUUCUAAAAAUGUGUUGAACAGAAAUUGAAGUUUACUACGUAUCUAAUGUACUUUAUGGAGCAAAUUCUAGAUCGCGUAGUUUACCGUAACGUUUGUCGACAUCCGUAAAUACCAUUCAACUUUAAAAUCGCAUUUUACAUAAUGUUUUGUAGGCGGCCGGUGUAUGGCCAGCGUUGCGUCGCCGUGAUCUUAGUGAAGCUACGCGUCGCUUCGCUCUGCCAUAAUAUGCCUUGAUCCUUACAAUAUUUAGUACAGUUGGUAUCUGAUAAAUAGAAUUCGGAUGGUGAAGCUGCGUAGUGAGUGAUUUAUCGAGCUGAUCUAAAGUGAGGUGUGCCGUGCCGCACGUCACUUCUUGUCGUAUGUGUCGUACGCCACUUCGUAUUGUACGCUGCGCUAUUGGUUCUUCAGUCAACCAUUCGUUUUCCGCGCGAUAUGAAAGCACAUAUCCAUUUUCAUUUUAGUCCAGAGUUCUGUUUAACUGACGCCAGCUGUACAAUAUAUUGUUUUUUAGAUCUAAAUUAUACUUAAAGUACAAAAUCAACUAAGUUAUAAUUAAGUAAAAGUAACUAAGGCUGUGUUCUACGACAGUGCUAUAAAUUGUCUGAUUAGUGAUUAUUGAUCUCUUGUUAAUUAAGAAACGGCCUGUACACAAAUGUGUAGUAUUAUUAAUUUUUAGUAGAUAGAUAGUUAAUUUAUUACAUCAACUUUUUUGUUCAA